This 494-nucleotide ribosomal RNA is filed under the name uncultured bacterium. RNAcentral describes it as "partial 16S ribosomal RNA". It matches the Rfam family "Bacterial small subunit ribosomal RNA", at positions 28 to 507 of the family's 1533-position model. The record is from RNAcentral.
GACGAACGCUGGCGGCGUGCUUAACACAUGCAAGUCGAACGGUGAAGCGCCUUCCUUUUUGGUGGGUGUGGAUGAGUGGCGAACGGGUGAGUAACACGUGAGUAACCUGCCCCCUUCUUCUGGAUAACCGCAUGAAAGUGUGGCUAAUACGGGAUAUUCUGGGUCUGUCGCAUGAUGGGUCUGGGAAAGAUAUUGUUUCGGUGGGGGAUGGGCUCGCGGCCUAUCAGCUUGUUGGUGGGGUGAUGGCCUACCAAGGCGGUGACGGGUAGCCGGCCUGAGAGGGUGGACGGUCACACUGGGACUGAGACACGGCCCAGACUCCUACGGGAGGCAGCAGUGGGUAAUAUUGCACAAUGGGCGCAAGCCUGAUGCAGCGCCGCCGCGUGAGGGAUGGAGGCCUGCGGGUUGUGAACCUCUUUCGCCAGUGAAGCAGGCCUGCCUCGUUUGUGGGUGGGUUGACGGUAGCUGGAUAAGAAGCGCCGGCUAACUACGUG